This is a long non-coding RNA of Fukomys damarensis (Damara mole-rat), 699 nucleotides long. RefSeq lists it as uncharacterized. Lineage: Eukaryota; Metazoa; Chordata; Mammalia; Rodentia; Bathyergidae. The record is from RefSeq and is a predicted model, not a curated record. The transcript has 3 exons.
AAAAACCUUUCCUCAAGUUGUGGUAUUAUGUCUCAGCAACAAGAAGGUAACUAAGACAAUCCAUUAUUCCUCACACAGUACCGGGGAUCGAACUGGGGACCUUGCACUUGAGAGACAGAUGGAGGAACCACUGAGCUAAAUCCCCGGCCCCAUGACCUCUGUGUCUGAUGGAACUGUCUGCUCAGACUGGCAAAACCUCAUCCUAAAACUGAAACAGACCUAAAGGAGCACAAAACACACGACUGUGCGGAAAUGGCCUUUCCCAACUUGCUCGUGACAGGAGGGAUGGUGGAAAAGGCCCUGACCUUGAAGAUGAGCCUGGGACUGAGCCCCAGUGGUAACUUCCUGACUGCGAGACCUCCAUAAGGCACCUGCGCUGCUCAGGCCCGGUUUCUCAGCUGCCAGGAUAGCAGCAAUCAUGACGCCUGGUGAGGGAGGCCGAGGUGUGCUACAGAGGAUACAAGAAAUAGAAGAUCGGCAAUAUUAACAAUAACGGGAAUGAUGCUCUUCAUCUUUAUCGCUGUCUUAUGGGAAGAAAUAAUUCUUACACUGUCAAGGUGAUGCUGUUUCAUCGAUAAAAUGGGAAUAAUGUAGAUUUUUAAAACUUAUAUUCCAUCUUUAGAACACCAAAUACCACUGUAACCACCACUUACUCUAAAUGACAAAUACUGGUGCUUAGCACUGAUCUUAGAAAACAAU